UGGCUCUCGUAGGUGACCUGCGGAGGGUCAUUACACAAAUAUGAAGGCGGGCUGGAACCUCUCGGGGUUACAGCCUUGCUGAAUUAUUCACCCUUGUCUUUUGCGUACUUCUUGUUUCCUUGGUGGGUUCGCCCACCACUAGGACAAACAUAAACCUUUUGUAAUUGCAAUCAGCGUCAGUAACAAAUUAAUAAUUACAACUUUCAACAACGGAUCUCUUGGUUCUGGCAUCGAUGAAGAACGCAGCGAAAUGCGAUAAGUAGUGUGAAUUGCAGAAUUCAGUGAAUCAUCGAAUCUUUGAACGCACAUUGCGCCCUUUGGUAUUCCAAAGGGCAUGCCUGUUCGAGCGUCAUUUGUACCCUCAAGCUUUGCUUGGUGUUGGGCGUCUUGUCUCUAGCUUUGCUGGAGACUCGCCUUAAAGUAAUUGGCAGCCGGCCUACUGGUUUCGGAGCGCAGCACAAGUCGCACUCUCUAUCAGCAAAGGUCUAGCAUCCAUUAAGCCUUUUUUUCAACUUUUGACCUCGGAUCAGGUAGGGAUACCCGCUGAACUUAA
This 553-nucleotide ribosomal RNA is filed under the name Alternaria alternata. Its description in RNAcentral is "eukaryotic LSU rRNA". The stretch from base 199 to 352 matches the Rfam family "5.8S ribosomal RNA". Lineage: Eukaryota; Fungi; Ascomycota; Dothideomycetes; Pleosporales; Pleosporaceae. The record is from RNAcentral.